This 535-nucleotide ribosomal RNA is filed under the name Blastocystis sp. subtype 3. Its description in RNAcentral is "bacterial SSU rRNA". It matches the Rfam family "Eukaryotic small subunit ribosomal RNA", at positions 494 to 1039 of the family's 1831-position model. Lineage: Eukaryota; Bigyra; Opalinata; Blastocystidae. The record is from RNAcentral.
GGUGGCUGUUUUGCAUUGGAUUGAGACAACGUACAAACCUUAUCGAUAAACAAUUGGAGGGCAAGUCUGGUGCCAGCAGCCGCGGUAAUUCCAGCUCCAAUAGCGUAUAUUAACGUUGUUGCAGUUAAAAAGCUCGUAGUUGAAAUGAAGGGUAGUUGUGUAAUGAAUACAUUCGUGUAUUUUGUUAUUCUACUACCCUCCUUCUAAAUUCGAUAUAUGAGUAUUAAUUUACUUGUAUAUGGUUUUAGACGUUUACUGUGAGAAAAUUAGAGUGUUCAAAGCAGGCAUUUGCUUGAAUAUAUUAGCAUGGAAUAAUCAUGUAUGAUUUUCAUGAUGUAUUUGAUUGGUUUGGUUCAUGAGAAUAAGAUUAAAAGGGACAGUUGGGGGUAUUCAUAUUCAAUAGUCAGAGGUGAAAUUCUCGGAUUUAUGGAAGAUGAACAAGUGCGAAAGCAUUUACCAAGGAUGUUUUCAUUAAUCAAGAACGAAAGUUAGGGGAUCGAAGAGGAUUAGAUACCCCCAUAAUUCCCUAAAAAAA